UACUAGAGUAGCACUCGCAUAUCAAUAAGCGGAGGAAAAGAAACUAACAAGGAUUCCCCUAGUAACGGCGAGUGAAGCGGGAAGAGCUCAAAUUUGAAAUCUUAAAGGGUUUCCCUUUACGAAUUGUAGUUUAAAGAAGUGUUUUUCUGUUGAGGUUUUGGUAAAAGUUCUUUGGAAUAGGACAUCAUAGAGGGUGAGAAUCCCGUAUUUGACCUUUACUUUCAACUUUGUGAUACACUUUCAAAGAGUCGGAUUGUUUGGGAAUGCAGUCCAAAAUGGGUGGUAAAUUUCAUCUAAAGCUAAAUAUUGGCGAGAGACCGAUAGCGAACAAGUACCGUGAGGGAAAGAUGAAAAGAACUUUGAAAAGAGAGUUAAACAGUACGUGAAAUUGUCAAAAGGGAAGCGUUUGACACCAGUGUUGUUUUUCUGAAAAUCAAUUAAAGAACUGUUUAUGCUAAGCUGUUUAGACUUUAUCAGCUAUCUGUUUAGUUUUAGGCUUUUCUUUAAUGCACUUUUCAGUUAACAAGUCAACAUCAAUUUCUUUUGCUGUAAAAAAGCUUGAGGAAGGUGGCUUGAGAUUCGUCUUAAGUGUUUAUAGCCUCUUGCCUAUGCAGUCCGGAGAGAUUGAGGUCCGCAGCGUAGAUCCUUCGGGGCUAAAUGCAUUUGUGCUAAGUUAUAGCAUUUUAUAGACAACUUGUUGACUAUGAUUUGUCUUGUAGCUUACUCGCUUAUGUUAUUUUACCUACGCUUAGGAUGUUGAGCGCAUGUCUCUCUCU
RNAcentral lists this ribosomal RNA (776 nucleotides) under uncultured Neocallimastigales. Its description in RNAcentral is "partial large subunit ribosomal RNA". It matches the Rfam family "Eukaryotic large subunit ribosomal RNA", at positions 20 to 616 of the family's 3401-position model. The record is from RNAcentral. Lineage: Eukaryota; Fungi; Neocallimastigomycota; Neocallimastigomycetes; Neocallimastigales.